RNAcentral lists this unclassified non-coding RNA (184 nucleotides) under uncultured Arachnopeziza. RNAcentral's name for it is "sequence contains ITS1". The record is from RNAcentral. Lineage: Eukaryota; Fungi; Ascomycota; Leotiomycetes; Helotiales; Hyaloscyphaceae.
AAAAGUUUCGGUCUAUAAGGCGUAAAACCCUCUAUAGGCCGUGAACCCCCCACCCUUGUGUAUUAUUUAUUUGUUGCUUUGGCAGGCCGCGAGCUUUACAGCGAGCACCGGCUUCGGCUGGAGAGUGCCUGCCAGAGGACCCAACUCUGUAUUUUAGUGACAUCUGAGUACUAUAUAAUAGUUA